CCCUGCCCCGCCCCGGCCCGCACCAGCCGCCCCACUCCGCCGGCCGGGCCUCGGCCGCACUCACAGCAUGAUCCGGGAGACGUGCAGCCGCACCGGGACGCUCCGGUCUUUGAAGGCGGUGGUGAUGAAGCAGCCGAAGAUGCUGUGUACAUAAGCCAAAAGAGGUCAAGAACACCUGGCGUAGAACCGGAUAGCUGGCUCUUGUCUUCCAUGGAUGAGCCCUUGCUGCUUUGCAUUAUGAUCAUUCAGUUAAUUUCCUACAGCCAUGCAGUGAGUGCCUAUGUGCCAGCUGAAGCUUUGAGAGUACAGCACUAAUAAGGGACCGUCCCUGCCAAAUUAGAGUAGAGCCCAGUAGUGAAAAAUGGACAGAUCUUUAGAUGAGUUUAAAACUUAAAUGCUAUCUUCCAGGCAGCCACAGUUUAUUCAAUAAAGCAACUGUUUAUUGGAUGCCUGCUGCGUUGCAAAUGAUACAAAGAUGUAUACUAACCACUUUCUACCCUCAUGAAGUUUGUAAUCUUGUGGAGUCAAUAAAAUAAAAACCAACCUGAAACGCAAACAAGUACCAAGGACGCUACCAAGUGCUUCAGACUUAAGAGGAAGAAUUCACGUCUGUGGUGAUGUCGGACAGAGCAGCAUCUGUUAGAUAUGUAAUGCGGUGCCUAAACAACAUGGCUGAGUUAUUCCCAUGAGAUGCUAGUCCUCUGUUUUGACAUUUACUAAUUAACAAUAAUUGUUCAUUCUAAUUACCUAUAUUUAUGCCUUCUCUUUUUUUUCUCUGAUUAGUAUUUUUCUUUGUUGAUUUUUUUCAAAAAAAACUGUCUUUUCCAUUUCUUAAUUUUACUGUUGUUUGUCUUAUUAUUAAUUUUUAAUGUUAUCAAAGUUUUUCAUUUCAUUUUUCCUUGGUUUACUAGUUUUAGGAAUUAGAUAUUUAAUUAACAUCUAAUUAGAUUUUAAAUUUUGCUUUUCUUCUUUGAGAGCUCAUUUAAUUGUGUGUGUGCAUGUUUACGUGUGUGUGUUCAAUUUCCAGAAGAGAGGACCUAUUUCAUUUUGAUUGUUUUAAAUUAAUGUAUGGUUUUAUUUCAUGCAGGCAGAGAAUGCUGGUUGUGUUAUUUUUAUUCUUUGGAUUAUUGAGGUCUUUGUGGCCUAAACUAUCACUUCUGUGAAUAUUCAGUGUGCACUUGUAAAGGUGGUAUAUUUUCUGUUAAUGGUACACAGAGUUUGAUCUAUACUAUGAGAUCUACCUUAUAUCUUUAUUAAUUUUUCGCUAUCUUGAUUUUGCUGGAUUGAGAGCAAUGUAUUAAAGUCUCCAUGUUCAUGUUUU
Phyllostomus hastatus (greater spear-nosed bat) is the source of this 1321-nucleotide long non-coding RNA. RefSeq lists it as uncharacterized. Lineage: Eukaryota; Metazoa; Chordata; Mammalia; Chiroptera; Phyllostomidae. The transcript has 2 exons. The record is from RefSeq and is a predicted model, not a curated record.